RNAcentral lists this ribosomal RNA (252 nucleotides) under uncultured bacterium. RNAcentral describes it as "partial 16S ribosomal RNA". It matches the Rfam family "Bacterial small subunit ribosomal RNA", at positions 524 to 776 of the family's 1533-position model. The record is from RNAcentral.
UACGGAGGAUGCGAGCGUUAUCCGGAUUUACUGGGUGUAAAGGGAGCGUAGGCGGCUUAGUAAGUCAGAAGUGAAAGCCCGGGGCUCAACCCCGGCCCGCCGUUGAAACUGGCAGUCUCGAGUUGGAGAGAAGUAUGCGGAAUGCGCGGUGUAGCGGUGAAAUGCAUAGAUAUAACUUAGAACACCGAUAGCGAAGGCAGCUUACCAGACUGAGUCUGACGCUGAUGCACGAGAGCAUGGGUAGCGAACAGG